GAUGAAGAACGUAGUGAAAUGCGAUAAGUAAUGUGAAUUGCAGAAUUCAGUGAAUCAUCGAAUCUUUGAACGCACAUUGCGCCCGGUAGUAUUCUGCCGGGCAUGCCUGUUCGAGCGUCAUUUCAACCAUCAAGCCCCAGCGCUUGUGUUGGGGGCCUGCGGCUGCCGCAGCCCCCUAAAAGCAGUGGCGGGCUCGCUAUCACACCGAGUGCAGUAGUUCAUCUUCUCUCCGGUCUUGUGAGGCGGGUUCAGGCCGUGAAACACCCCACUACAUUCAAGGUUGACCUCGGAUCAGGUAGGAAUACCCGCUGAACUUAAGCAUAUCAAUAAGCGGAGGA
RNAcentral lists this unclassified non-coding RNA (338 nucleotides) under soil metagenome. Its description in RNAcentral is "partial contains 5.8S ribosomal RNA, internal transcribed spacer 2, and large subunit ribosomal RNA". The stretch from base 1 to 120 matches the Rfam family "5.8S ribosomal RNA", at positions 35 to 154 of the family's 154-position model. The record is from RNAcentral.